CGAGCGCAACAAACACAUGACUCUUAGGCCAAUCCAAAUAGUAUAUUGUUCUAAACUCUUUCCCAAUUAGCAUUGAGAAAAGGAUACGACAAAUAGAGUUAUAAAUAUUUUAGAUCAUUACAUAACGGAAAACAAAGUUAAGUAAUCCACAUACUCACAUUAACACACACAGACACAGAUACACACAAACACACACACGCACGCACACACACAAACGCGCACACACAAACAGAGAGACACUGAC
This 244-nucleotide long non-coding RNA is filed under the name Vigna radiata. RNAcentral's name for it is "long non-coding RNA (VRAD_LNC002518)". The record is from RNAcentral. Lineage: Eukaryota; Viridiplantae; Streptophyta; Magnoliopsida; Fabales; Fabaceae.